RNAcentral lists this ribosomal RNA (497 nucleotides) under uncultured bacterium. Its description in RNAcentral is "partial 16S ribosomal RNA". It matches the Rfam family "Bacterial small subunit ribosomal RNA", at positions 28 to 507 of the family's 1533-position model. The record is from RNAcentral.
GAUGAACGCUGGCGGCGUGCCUAAUACAUGCAAGUCGAGCGAACAGACGAGGAGCUUGCUCCUCUGACGUUAGCGGCGGACGGGUGAGUAACACGUGGAUAACCGACCUAUAAGACUGGGAUAACUUCGGGAAACCGGAGCUAAUACCGGAUAAUAUAUUGAACCGCAUGGUUCAAUAGUGAAAGACGGUUUUGCUGUCACUUAUAGAUGGAUCCGCGCCGCAUUAGCUAGUUGGUAAGGUAACGGCUUACCAAGGCAACGAUGCGUAGCCGACCUGAGAGGGUGAUCGGCCACACUGGAACUGAGACACGGUCCAGACUCCUACGGGAGGCAGCAGUAGGGAAUAUUCCGCAAUGGGCGAAAGCCUGACGGAGCAACGCCGCGUGAGUGAUGAAGGUCUUCGGAUCGUAAAACUCUGUUAUUAGGGAAGAACAAAUGUGUAAGUAACUAUGCACGUCUUGACGGUUCCUAAUCAGAAAGCCACGGCUAACUACGUG